Molecule: ribosomal RNA, 1406 nt
Filed under: uncultured bacterium
Lineage: Bacteria
Description: partial 16S ribosomal RNA
Rfam family: Bacterial small subunit ribosomal RNA
Source: RNAcentral
AGAGUUUGAUCCUGGCUCAGGAUGAACGCUAGCGGCAGGCUUAACACAUGCAAGUCGAGGGGCAGCGAGAUCAGUGCUUGCACUGAUUGUCGGCGACCGGCGCACGGGUGCGUAACGCGUAUGCAACCUACCCAUUACAGGGGGAUAACACUGAGAAAUCGGUACUAAUACCCCAUAACAUCCAGGGAGGCAUCUUCUUGGGUUGAAAACUCCGGUGGUAAUGGAUGGGCAUGCGUUGUAUUAGUUGGUUGGUGGGGUAACGGCUCACCAAGACGACGAUACAUAGGGGGACUGAGAGGUUAACCCCCCACAUUGGUACUGAGACACGGACCAAACUCCUACGGGAGGCAGCAGUGAGGAAUCUUCCACAAUGGACGAAAGUCUGAUGGAGCAACGCCGCGUGAGUGAAGAAGGGUUUCGGCUCGUAAAGCUCUGUUGGUAGUGAAGAAAGAUAGAGGUAGUAACUGGCCUUUAUUUGACGGUAAUUACUUAGAAAGUCACGGCUAACUACGUGCCAGCAGCCGCGGUAAUACGUAGGUGGCAAGCGUUGUCCGGAUUUAUUGGGCGUAAAGCGAGUGCAGGCGGUUCAAUAAGUCUGAUGUGAAAGCCUUCGGCUCAACCGGAGAAUUGCAUCAGAAACUGUUGAACUUGAGUGCAGAAGAGGAGAGUGGAACUCCAUGUGUAGCGGUGGAAUGCGUAGAUAUAUGGAAGAACACCAGUGGCGAAGGCGGCUCUCUGGUCUGCAACUGACGCUGAGGCUCGAAAGCAUGGGUAGCGAACAGGAUUAGAUACCCUGGUAGUCCAUGCCGUAAACGAUGAGUGCUAAGUGUUGGGAGGUUUCCGCCUCUCAGUGCUGCAGCUAACGCAUUAAGCACUCCGCCUGGGGAGUACGACCGCAAGGUUGAAACUCAAAGGAAUUGACGGGGGCCCGCACAAGCGGUGGAGCAUGUGGUUUAAUUCGAAGCAACGCGAAGAACCUUACCAGGUCUUGACAUCCAGUGCAAACCUAAGAGAUUAGGUGUUCCCUUCGGGGACGCUGAGACAGGUGGUGCAUGGCUGUCGUCAGCUCGUGUCGUGAGAUGUUGGGUUAAGCCCCGCAACGAGCGCAACCCCUAUCUUCAGUAGCCAGCAUUUGAGGUGGGCACUCUGGAGAGACUGCCAGGGACAACCUGGAGGAAGGUGGGGACGACGUCAAAUCAUCAUGCCCCUUAUGGGCAGGGCUACACACGUGCUACAAUGGCGUAAACAAAGGGAGGCGAAGCCGCGAGGCCGAGCAAAUCCCAAAAAUAACGUCCCAGUUCGGAUUGCAGUCUGCAACUCGACUGCAUGAAGCUGGAAUCGCUAGUAAUCGCGAAUCAGAAUGUCGCGGUGAAUACGUUCCCGGGUCUUGCACUCACCGCCCGUCA